This 253-nucleotide ribosomal RNA is filed under the name uncultured bacterium. RNAcentral's name for it is "partial 16S ribosomal RNA". It matches the Rfam family "Bacterial small subunit ribosomal RNA", at positions 524 to 776 of the family's 1533-position model. The record is from RNAcentral.
GACGUAGGGCGCGAGCGUUGUCCGGAUUUAUUGGGCGUAAAGGGCUCGUAGGCGGUUUGUCGCGUCGGGAGUGAAAACCCAGGGCUUAACUCUGGGCUUGCUUUCGAUACGGGCAGACUAGAGGUAUGCAGGGGAGAACGGAAUUCCUGGUGUAGCGGUGAAAUGCGCAGAUAUCAGGAAGAACACCCGUGGCGAAGGCGGCUCUCUGGGACGGUACUGACGCUGAGACGCGAAAGCGUGGGGAGCGAACAGG